CCUACGGGAGGCAGCAGUGAGGAAUAUUGGUCAAUGGACGCAAGUCUGAACCAGCCAUGCCGCGUGCAGGAAGACGGCUCUAUGAGUUGUAAACUGCUUUUGUACGGGGGUAAACGCAGAUACGCGUAUCUGUCUGAAAGUAUCGUACGAAUAAGGAUCGGCUAACUCCGUGCCAGCAGCCGCGGUAAUACGGAGGAUUCAAGCGUUAUCCGGAUUUAUUGGGUUUAAAGGGUGCGUAGGCGGUCGGAUAAGUUAGAGGUGAAAUCCCGAGGCUCAACUUCGGAAUUGCCUCUGAUACUGUUCGGCUAGAGAGUAGUUGCGGUAGGCGGAAUGUAUGGUGUAGCGGUGAAAUGCUUAGAGAUCAUACAGAACACCGAUUGCGAAGGCAGCUUACCAAGGUACUUCUGACGUUGAGGCACGAAAGCGUGGGGAGCGAACAGGAUUAGAUACCCGAGUAGUC
Molecule: ribosomal RNA, 460 nt
Filed under: uncultured bacterium
Lineage: Bacteria
Description: partial 16S ribosomal RNA
Rfam family: Bacterial small subunit ribosomal RNA
Source: RNAcentral